This 64-nucleotide transfer RNA is filed under the name Neogonodactylus bredini. RNAcentral's name for it is "tRNA-Cys". It matches the Rfam family "tRNA". From Rfam's summary of the family: Transfer RNA (tRNA) molecules are approximately 80 nucleotides in length. Their secondary structure includes four short double-helical elements and three loops (D, anti-codon, and T loops). The record is from RNAcentral. Lineage: Eukaryota; Metazoa; Arthropoda; Malacostraca; Stomatopoda; Gonodactylidae.
AGUCCCAUAGUUUAAGUUUAAAAUAUUAGACUGCAAUUCUGAAGAUACAAUAUAGUUGGGGCUU